ACCUGAGGGUGAAAGCGGGGGAUCGCAAGACCUCGCGCGAGAGGAGCGGCCGAUGUCGGAUUAGCUAGUUGGUGAGGUAAAGGCUCACCAAGGCGACGAUCCGUAGCGGGUCUGAGAGGACGGCCCGCCACACUGGGACUGAGACACGGCCCAGACUCCUACGGGAGGCAGCAGUGGGGAAUUUUGGACAAUGGGGGCAACCCUGAUCCAGCCAUUCCGCGUGAGUGAAGAAGGCCUUCGGGUUGUAAAGCUCUUUCGGCAGGAACGAAACGGUGGAGGCUAAUAUCUUUCAUCAAUGACGGUACCUGAAGAAGAAGCACCGGCUAACUACGUGCCAGCAGCCGCGGUAAUACGUAGGGUGCGAGCGUUAAUCGGAAUUACUGGGCGUAAAGCGUGCGCAGGCGGUUUUGUAAGACAGAUGUGAAAUCCCCGGGCUUAACCUGGGAACUGCGUUUGUGACUGCAAGACUUGAGUGCGGCAGAGGGGGGUGGAAUUCCACGUGUAGCAGUGAAAUGCGUAGAGAUGUGGAGGAACACCGAUGGCGAAGGCAGCCCCCUGGGUCGACACUGACGCUCAUGCACGAAAGCGUGGGUAGCAAACAGGAUUAGAUACCCUGGUAGUCC
RNAcentral lists this ribosomal RNA (623 nucleotides) under uncultured bacterium. RNAcentral describes it as "bacterial SSU rRNA". It matches the Rfam family "Bacterial small subunit ribosomal RNA", at positions 192 to 796 of the family's 1533-position model. The record is from RNAcentral.